UAUGCUUCUUGAUUCCUUUGUCAAAGCUUAGGGUGAGGUUAUCACAUACUCCACCUUUUAUCUUUGAGUGACUUAUUUUUUCCGGUGUUGAAGUUUUUUUUUUUGUGUGUUUCUGUAUCUGUUAACUUCAGUUUUACUCUGUGGUUUUGCAUACAAGCUUUUAGAGUAACACUUCCCUUCCCAAGAUGAGUUUUGGACAACUUGGUAGGUGCUGUUUGUUAUGAUGAUUUGUUUGUUGCGGAUCAAUUGACUACAGUGGCCCUAGGACUCCUCUGGUAUUAGGUUGAAGCUUAAAUUGUGACAUUUCGUAUGAUUACAAGAUAUUCCAAAUUGGACCGAAAUUUGUUCCAAUGAACUAUCCUGUUCUGCAGGCUGUGUUCAAUGCCUUGUUUGGUCAUCUCUACUAAUAAAGACUUCACAGUUCCGAGACUUGUUAAGAUAAAACCAGUAACUUGUUUUUGGCAAGCAAAGGUUAACAUACUAUCAUUCAAUUCAGUCUUGCGAUCAAACCAGUAAUUUUUUCACAUCUGUUCGUUUUGUGAUUGGGGAUGUUUGUCUUUUGAUGGUGUCUGCUAGUGUUGGUGUUUUUUGUUUUGUUUUUGUAUCAGCUGCAUGAACAUUGAUGCAGACAAGAUUCAAAGUAUAUCUCUUUGCCCUCACCAAGGAUGAGGAAUUCUGAACAGCUUGGUUAUGGCUUUCUCUUGUUCUGUUAAUUUAUUACUUUCCUUUGUUAUGAUUCUUUCACUAUUUUCUUGUCCCUUGUGACAUAUAAGAAUAAGACUAUGAAUUCUCACACAAAUGGGUUUUUGUCACAGUGAGGAAGCCUAAAUUAUUGUCAUUUCACAUGAAGCACCUAUCUGCAAUUAGAUGUAUUCGCAUUGUUACGUUGUAUGCUAAAUCAGUGGUGAUCUCCACUCUGACUAAGAAUUCUUCGCGUUUCUGUCUCUUGAGGAUCUAGUUUUUCUUAAUUUCCUAUAG
RNAcentral lists this long non-coding RNA (978 nucleotides) under Trifolium pratense (red clover). RNAcentral describes it as "long non-coding RNA (TPRA_LNC002323)". The record is from RNAcentral. Lineage: Eukaryota; Viridiplantae; Streptophyta; Magnoliopsida; Fabales; Fabaceae.